RNAcentral lists this ribosomal RNA (210 nucleotides) under uncultured bacterium. Its description in RNAcentral is "partial 16S ribosomal RNA". It matches the Rfam family "Bacterial small subunit ribosomal RNA", at positions 8 to 198 of the family's 1533-position model. The record is from RNAcentral.
AGAGUUUGAUCAUGGCUCAGGAUGAACGCUGGCGGCGUGCCUAACACAUGCAAGUCGAGCGAAGCACUUAACUUUGAUCCUUCGGGUGAAGAGUUCUGUGACUGAGCGGCGGACGGGUGAGUAACACGUAGGUAACCUGCCUCACACAGGGGGAUAACAGUUAGAAAUGACUGCUAAUACCGCAUAAGCGCACAGGGCCGCAUGGCCCGG